Molecule: ribosomal RNA, 840 nt
Filed under: Calditrichota bacterium
Lineage: Bacteria; Pseudomonadati; Calditrichota
Description: bacterial LSU rRNA
Rfam family: Bacterial large subunit ribosomal RNA
Source: RNAcentral
GAUCAAGCUAUUAAGGGCACAUGAUGGAUGCCUUGGCACAGGAGAGCGAUGAAGGACGUGGCCAGCUGCGAUAAGCCACGGGGAGGUGCAAGCAACCGUCGAUCCGUGGAUCUCCGAAUGGGGCAACCCGGCGCCGGCAAUGCGGCGUCAUCCUCCCGUCUAGACGGGAGGAGGCGAACCCGGGGAACUGAAACAUCUAAGUACCCGGAGGAACAGAAAGAGGAAUUCGAUUCCCCCAGUAGCGGCGAGCGAAAAGGGAACAGCCUAAACCCGUCUGCAUGUAGAAGGCCGCAGCCGUUGUGCAGCGGGGGUAGUGGGAAGUUGACGGGGUGCGCUGCGGAGCACCCGGAGAGUGACAAAGCCUGCGGAUAGUCGAAUGGUCCUGGAAAGGCCAGCCACAGAGGGUGAUAGCCCCGUAGACGAAAUCUGUAGGCCUCUCUGGUCAACUUUCCCGAGUACCGCGGGGCACGUGUAACCCUGUGGGAAUCUGUGCCGACCACGGCAUAAGGCUAAAUAUGCUCCUGUGACCGAUAGUGGAAUAGUACCGUGAGGGAAAGGUGAAAAGCACCCCGGGAGGGGAGUGAAAUAGCACCUGAAAUCAUGUGCCUACAACCAGUCGGAGCCGGAUGGUUCCCUGAGAACCAUCGGGUGACGGCGUGCCUUUUGCAUAAUGAGCCAGCGAGUUGUGGUAGGCAGCGCAGGUUAAGCCCUUCAGGGGCGGAGCCGUAGCGAAAGCGAGUCUGAACAGGGCGCUUCAGUUGCCUGCUGCAGACGCGAAGCCGGGUGAUCUACCCAUGGCCAGGAUGAAGCCCCGGUAAAACGGGGUGGAGGUCCGAACCC